This 230-nucleotide ribosomal RNA is filed under the name uncultured bacterium. RNAcentral describes it as "partial 16S ribosomal RNA". It matches the Rfam family "Bacterial small subunit ribosomal RNA", at positions 104 to 334 of the family's 1533-position model. The record is from RNAcentral.
CGGGGUGAGUAAUGUCUGGGAAACUGCCUGAUGGAGGGGGAUAACUGCUGGAAACGGUAGCUAAUACCGCAUAACGUCGCAAGACCAAAGAGGGGGACCGUUCGGGCCUCUUGCCAUCGGAUGUGCCCAGAUGGGAUUAGCUAGUAGGUGGGGUAACGGCUCACCUAGGCGACGAUCCCUAGCUGGUCUGAGAGGAUGACCAGCCACACUGGAACUGAGACACGGUCCAG